GUGCUUGCUUUGGCAGCACAUAUACUAAAAUUGGAAUAAUACAGAGAUUAGCAUGGCCCCUGCUCAACGAUUACCCACAAAUUCAUGACGUGUUUGAUAUUUUU
This is a small nuclear RNA of Pteronotus mesoamericanus, 104 nucleotides long. NCBI's taxonomy places the organism in Eukaryota, Metazoa, Chordata, Mammalia, Chiroptera, Mormoopidae. The record is from RefSeq and is a predicted model, not a curated record.